Molecule: long non-coding RNA, 232 nt
Organism: Periophthalmus magnuspinnatus
Lineage: Eukaryota; Metazoa; Chordata; Actinopteri; Gobiiformes; Gobiidae
Exons: 3
Source: RefSeq, a predicted model, not a curated record
GACAGCAGGAGGUGCCGGGAGUUCCUCGACCACCCGGUCACAGAGGAGGAGAUGACCAGGAGAACUGCAAUAUUCCCCAGAGUAAUCAUCACGCCCAGAGCCACUAUUACGCAGACUUUAAUGGAGCGACACACAAAGCAUGAGCUGUGGAGGGAACAGUGUGUCCAAGUUUACUGGGACGUCAGUGCAGGUUGUGGUGCCUUCAUAAAUGUGAUCCCUUUGGUCUGAGGUC